Molecule: non-coding RNA, 31 nt
Filed under: Homo sapiens (human)
Lineage: Eukaryota; Metazoa; Chordata; Mammalia; Primates; Hominidae
Source: RNAcentral
UAAGACAUAUAGUUUGGUCCUCAAUUUGGCC